UACGAAGGGUGCAAGCGUUACUCGGAAUUACUGGGCGUAAAGCGUGCGUAGGUGGUGCGUUAAGUCUGUCGUGAAAGCCCCGGGCUCAACCUGGAAUGGCGAUGGAUACUGGCGCGCUAGAGUGCGGUAGAGGAGAGUGGAAUUCCCGGUGUAGCAGUGAAAUGCGUAGAGAUCGGGAGGAACAUCAGUUGCGAAGGCGGCUCUCUGGACCAGCACUGACACUGAGGCACGAAAGCUCGGGGAGCGAACGGG
Molecule: ribosomal RNA, 252 nt
Filed under: uncultured bacterium
Lineage: Bacteria
Description: partial 16S ribosomal RNA
Rfam family: Bacterial small subunit ribosomal RNA
Source: RNAcentral